Centruroides sculpturatus (bark scorpion) is the source of this 418-nucleotide long non-coding RNA. RefSeq lists it as uncharacterized. Lineage: Eukaryota; Metazoa; Arthropoda; Arachnida; Scorpiones; Buthidae. The record is from RefSeq and is a predicted model, not a curated record. The transcript is spliced from 2 exons.
GUUUAUUUCGUCAUCGGUUUCAAGAUGUCAGCCAAAUCAGAUGAUUUAGAUUUUAACCCUUUUUACAAACAGUUGCAGUUAACAUUUCGGAAUAAAUUUCUUGAAGCGCAAAAGAAAUGCUGGAUAAUAUGCGUGCCACAGAAAAAUUCAGUAAAAAAUGACAUUAAGGUUACAAAACAUUUCAUUGGUAAGUUUAAAAUUUAGUUUCAGUAUUAAGUCACUAUGAUUAAAAUUUUAGUAUUUUUAUGCUUUAGUUUGUUAAUAGAUAAUCAUUCAUUGCCUGAAGAUCUUUUAGAUUCAUGUUAUGGCUAAUGGGAAUAUUAGUCUGUUAUAGAUCUAAAGCUGUCAUUGUUAUCAACACCAAGUUUGUUUGUACCCCAAAAUUCAUUCUGUUCUGGGGUUUAUGAAUCUUUUGUCC